GGGCGGGUGCCUGAGCGGACAAAAGGAGCUGACUGUAGAUCAGCCGCCCUUGUGGCUACGGAGGUUCGAAUCCUUCCCCGCCCACCA
Molecule: transfer RNA, 87 nt
Filed under: Bacillota bacterium
Lineage: Bacteria; Bacillati; Bacillota
Description: Firmicutes bacterium (sediment metagenome) tRNA-Tyr
Rfam family: tRNA
About the family: Transfer RNA (tRNA) molecules are approximately 80 nucleotides in length. Their secondary structure includes four short double-helical elements and three loops (D, anti-codon, and T loops).
Source: RNAcentral